UACGGAGGGUGCAAGCGUUAUCCGGAUUCACUGGGUUUAAAGGGUGCGUAGGAGGGCAGGUAAGUCAGUGGUGAAAUCUCCGAGCUUAACUUGGAAACUGCCGUUGAUACUAUCUGCCUUGAAUAUUGUGGAGGUGAGCGGAAUAUGUCAUGUAGCGGUGAAAUGCUUAGAUAUGACAUAGAAUACCCAUUGCGAAGGCAGCUAACUACGCGAUUAUUGACGCUGAUGCACGAAAGCGUGGGGAUCAAACAGG
RNAcentral lists this ribosomal RNA (253 nucleotides) under uncultured bacterium. Its description in RNAcentral is "partial 16S ribosomal RNA". It matches the Rfam family "Bacterial small subunit ribosomal RNA", at positions 524 to 776 of the family's 1533-position model. The record is from RNAcentral.